ACGGGUGAGUAAUAUAUCGGAACGUGCCCUGGAGUGGGGGAUAACUAGUCGAAAGAUUAGCUAAUACCGCAUACGAUCUAUGGAUGAAAGUGGGGGAUCGCAAGACCUCAUGCUCCUGGAGCGGCCGAUAUCUGAUUAGCUAGUUGGUGGGGUAAAAGCCUACCAAGGCCACGAUCAGUAGCUGGUCUGAGAGGACGACCAGCCGCACUGGGACUGAGACACGGCCCAGACUCCUACGGGAGGCAGCAGUGGGGAAUUUUGGACAAUGGGGGCAACCCUGAUCCAGCAAUGCCGCGUGUGUGAAGAAGGCCUUCGGGUUGUAAAGCACUUUUGUCAGGAACGAAACGGUCUGGGCUAAUACCUCGGACUAAUGACGGUACCUGAAGAAUAAGCACCGGCUAACUACGUGCCAGCAGCCGCGGUAAUACGUAGGGUGCAAGCGUUAAUCGGAAUUACUGGGCGUAAAGCGUGCGCAGGCGGUUGUGCAAGACAGAUGUGAAAUCCCCGGGCUUAACCUGGGAACUGCAUUUGUGACUGCACGGCUAGAGUGUGUCAGAGGGGGGUAGAAUUCCACGUGUAGCA
Molecule: ribosomal RNA, 582 nt
Filed under: uncultured bacterium
Lineage: Bacteria
Description: bacterial SSU rRNA
Rfam family: Bacterial small subunit ribosomal RNA
Source: RNAcentral